GCCUACGACCAUAUCACCCUGAAUGCGCCCGAUCUCGUCUGAUCUCGGACGCUAAGCAUGGUCGAGCCUGGUUAGUACUUGGAUGGGAUACUGCCUGGGAAUACCAGGUGUUGUAGGCU
RNAcentral lists this ribosomal RNA (119 nucleotides) under Petromyzon marinus (sea lamprey). The record is from RNAcentral. Lineage: Eukaryota; Metazoa; Chordata; Hyperoartia; Petromyzontiformes; Petromyzontidae.